GGCGAGCUCUGCAUCUCCUGCCCCCAUCUCCUGCCUCCGUCCCUGGAGGGGAAGAGCAAGAGAUCUCCCGGCUCUGCUGCUCCCUCGCUUGUGUGUCCUCUGCUUUCAGUUCCUUAGACGAAAAACUGCUUCCCAGAUGGACGUGACUUCUCAAGAGCUCUGAAGUAGAAAACGCUCCCGGGCAUGUCAGAGUACAGCAAAUCCGUGGCUACAGAUGCUGCAUCUGAACAAACCCUGGGCUGAGCAGACAGGGAUGUUCCUGGACAAGGGGAGAGCUGACAUUUUCCGGCAGAGGGGCUAUGACUGGGAAGAGCUUAGUGAAACAAUGACCUUGGGAGAUGCAGACUGAGCUGCGCAGUGGGGCAGACACGAAGGAUGAGGAUUCCUUUCACAGCUCCUCGCAGGAUCAUCAUCCCUGGCUGCUCAGCCAAGGCCUCACACACUCGCCUUGCUGCCCUUGCAACAGUCUAGAAGCACAAGAGGAAAACAAAUAGUCAGGGUGUGCCCGAUCCAUCUGUCACUGAGGAAAUAAACCUGUCCUCCUAAAACUUAAUGCCAUCAUUCACUCCGACCAAAGGUAGAGAUCAAGGCUGCUUACUCAGAGUAGUACCUAAGGCCGUGUCUAGUCAGGCAGACAGGCAGGCACAGUGACAGGCAAAUAAAUUACUCUGGCAUGGUCCCUCGGGAGUGUGCGCUCUCCUCUAGAGCAAGCGAUUGCCUCAGAAACACAUCUACUCUUCAAGGAGCCCUUGGGCUACGCAGGGAGUAAGUUACUCUGCAAGAGUGCUUAUGAGGAUCUUCUUAAAA
Molecule: long non-coding RNA, 807 nt
Organism: Strigops habroptila (Kakapo)
Lineage: Eukaryota; Metazoa; Chordata; Aves; Psittaciformes; Psittacidae
Exons: 4
Source: RefSeq, a predicted model, not a curated record